Molecule: ribosomal RNA, 253 nt
Filed under: uncultured bacterium
Lineage: Bacteria
Description: partial 16S ribosomal RNA
Rfam family: Bacterial small subunit ribosomal RNA
Source: RNAcentral
UACGUAGGGUGCAAGCGUUAAUCGGAAUUACUGGGCGUAAAGCGUGCGCAGGCGGUGAUGUAAGACAGGUGUGAAAUCCCCGGGCUUAACCUGGGAACUGCAUUUGUGACUGCAUCGCUGGAGUGCGGCAGAGGGGGAUGGAAUUCCGCGUGUAGCAGUGAAAUGCGUAGAUAUGCGGAGGAACACCGAUGGCGAAGGCAAUCCCCUGGGCCUGCACUGACGCUCAUGCACGAAAGCAUGGGGAGCAAAAGGG